RNAcentral lists this ribosomal RNA (371 nucleotides) under uncultured bacterium. RNAcentral describes it as "bacterial SSU rRNA". It matches the Rfam family "Bacterial small subunit ribosomal RNA", at positions 521 to 896 of the family's 1533-position model. The record is from RNAcentral.
UAAUACGGAGGGUGCAAGCGUUAUCCGGAUUUAUUGGGUUUAAAGGGUCCGUAGGCGGACCGUUAAGUCAGUGGUGAAAGCCCACAGCUCAACUGUGGAAUUGCCAUUGAUACUGGCGGUCUUGAGUACAUGUGAAGUUGGCGGAAUGUGUGGUGUAGCGGUGAAAUGCUUAGAUAUCACACAGAACACCGAUUGCGAAGGCAGCUGGCUAACAUGUAACUGACGCUGAGGGACGAAAGUGUGGGGAUCAAACAGGAUUAGAUACCCUGGUAGUCCACACCGUAAACGAUGAUUACUAGAUUUUGGCCGCAAGGUCAGAGUCCAAGCGAAAGUGUUUAGUAAUCCACCUGGGGAGUACGUCCGCAAGGAUG